GACGAACCUUUGCGGCGUGCCUAAUACAUGCAAGUAGAACGCUGAAGAGAGGAGCUUGCUCUUCUUGGAUGAGUUGCGAACGGGUGAGUAACGCGUAGGUAACCUGCCUUGUAGCGGGGGAUAACUAUUGGAAACGAUAGCUAAUACCGCAUAACAAUGGAUGACACAUGUCAUUUAUUUGAAAGGGGCAAUUGCUCCACUACAAGAUGGACCUGCGUUGUAUUAGCUAGUAGGUGAGGUAAUGGCUCACCUAGGCGACGAUACAUAGCCGACCUGAGAGGGUGAUCGGCCACACUGGGACUGAGACACGGCCCAGACUCCUACGGGAGGCAGCAGUAGGGAAUCUUCGGCAAUGGGGGCAACCCUGACCGAGCAACGCCGCGUGAGUGAAGAAGGUUUUCGGAUCGUAAAGCUCUGUUGUAAGUCAAGAACGGGUGUGAGAGUGGAAAGUUCACACUGUGACGGUAGCUUACCAGAAAGGGACGGCUAACUACGUGCCAGCAGCCGCGGUAAUACGUAGGUCCCGAGCGUUGUCCGGAUUUAUUGGGCGUAAAGCGAGCGCAGGCGGUUUGAUAAGUCUGAAGUUAAAGGCUGUGGCUCAACCAUAGUUCGCUUUGGAAACUGUCAAACUUGAGUGCAGAAGGGGAGAGUGGAAUUCCAUGUGUAGCGGUGAAAUGCGUAGAUAUAUGGAGGAACACCGGUGGCGAAAGCGGCUCUCUGGUCUGUAACUGACGCUGAGGCUCGAAAGCGUGGGGAGCGAACAGGGUUAGAUACCCUGGUAGUCCACGCCGUAAACGAUGAGUGCUAGGUGUUGGAUCCUUUCCGGGAUUCAGUGCCGCAGCUAACGCAUUAAGCACUCCGCCUGGGGAGUACGACCGCAAGGUUGAAACUCAAAGGAAUUGACGGGGGCCCGCACAAGCGGUGGAGCAUGUGGUUUAAUUCGAAGCAACGCGAAGAACCUUACCAGGUCUUGACAUCCCGAUGCUAUUUCUAGAGAUAGAAAGUUACUUCGGUACAUCGGUGACAGGUGGUGCAUGGUUGUCGUCAGCUCGUGUCGUGAGAUGUUGGGUUAAGUCCCGCAACGAGCGCAACCCCUAUUGUUAGUUGCCAUCAUUCAGUUGGGCACUCUAGCGAGACUGCCGGUAAUAAACCGGAGGAAGGUGGGGAUGACGUCAAAUCAUCAUGCCCCUUAUGACCUGGGCUACACACGUGCUACAAUGGUUGGUACAACGAGUUGCGAGUCGGUGACGGCGAGCUAAUCUCUUAAAGCCAAUCUCAGUUCGGAUUGUAGGCUGCAACUCGCCUACAUGAAGUCGGAAUCGCUAGUAAUCGCGGAUCAGCACGCCGCGGUGAAUACGUUCCCGGGCCU
Molecule: ribosomal RNA, 1369 nt
Filed under: uncultured bacterium
Lineage: Bacteria
Description: bacterial SSU rRNA
Rfam family: Bacterial small subunit ribosomal RNA
Source: RNAcentral